GAAAGUAUUCCCUAGCUAGCGGCGAGCGAAGCGGGAAGAGCUCAAAUUUAUAAUCUGGCACCUUCGGUGUCCGAGUUGUAAUCUCUAGAAAUGUUUUCCGCGUUGGACCGCACACAAGUCUGUUGGAAUACAGCGGCAUAGUGGUGAGACCCCCGUAUAUGGUGCGGACGCCCAGCGCUUUGUGAUACAUUUUCGAAGAGUCGAGUUGUUUGGGAAUGCAGCUCAAAUUGGGUGGUAAAUUCCAUCUAAAGCUAAAUAUUGGCGAGAGACCGAUAGCGAACAAGUACCGUGAGGGAAAGAUGAAAAGCACUUUGGAAAGAGAGUUAACAGUACGUGAAAUUGUUGGAAGGGAAACGCUUGAAGUCAGACUUGCUUGCCGAGCAAUCGGUUUGCAGGCCAGCAUCAGUUUUCCGGGAUGGAUAAUGGUAGAGAGAAGGUAGCAGUUUCGGCUGUGUUAUAGCUCUCUGCUGGAUACAUCUUGGGGGACUGAGGAACGCAGUGUGCCUUUGGCGGGGGUUUCGACCUCUUCACACUUAGGAUGCUGGUGGAAUGGCUUUAAACGACCCGUCUUGAACACCGGACCACAUUC
RNAcentral lists this ribosomal RNA (589 nucleotides) under Rhodotorula mucilaginosa. RNAcentral's name for it is "eukaryotic LSU rRNA". It matches the Rfam family "Eukaryotic large subunit ribosomal RNA", at positions 68 to 664 of the family's 3401-position model. Lineage: Eukaryota; Fungi; Basidiomycota; Microbotryomycetes; Sporidiobolales; Sporidiobolaceae. The record is from RNAcentral.